RNAcentral lists this transfer RNA (78 nucleotides) under Sphaerodactylus townsendi. RNAcentral's name for it is "tRNA-Ala". The record is from RNAcentral. Lineage: Eukaryota; Metazoa; Chordata; Lepidosauria; Squamata; Sphaerodactylidae.
GGAGGAGGACCCAUGGCUCAGCGGCAGAGCAUUUGCUUCGCAUGCAGAAGGUCUCAUGUUCAGUCCCCAACUUCUUCA